RNAcentral lists this ribosomal RNA (506 nucleotides) under uncultured bacterium. RNAcentral's name for it is "partial 16S ribosomal RNA". It matches the Rfam family "Bacterial small subunit ribosomal RNA", at positions 29 to 523 of the family's 1533-position model. The record is from RNAcentral.
AGUGAACGCUGGCGGUAGGCCUAACACAUGCAAGUCGAACGGCAGCACAGAGGAGCUUGCUCCUUGGGUGGCGAGUGGCGGACGGGUGAGGAGUACAUCGGAAUCUACUCUGUCGUGGGGGAUAACGUAGGGAAACUUACGCUAAUACCGCAUACGACCUACGGGUGAAAGCAGGGGACCUUCGGGCCUUGCGCGAUUGAAUGAGCCGAUGUCGGAUUAGCUAGUUGGCGGGGUAAAGGCCCACCAAGGCGACGAUCCGUAGCUGGUCUGAGAGGAUGAUCAGCCACACUGGAACUGAGACACGGUCCAGACUCCUACGGGAGGCAGCAGUGGGGAAUAUUGGACAAUGGGCGCAAGCCUGAUCCAGCCAUACCGCGUGGGUGAAGAAGGCCUUCGGGUUGUAAAGCCCUAUUGUUGGGAAAGAAAUCCAGCUGGCUAAUACCCGGUUGGGAUGACGGUACCCAAAGAAUAAGCACCGGCUAACUUCGUGCCAGCCGCCGCUGUAA